Molecule: small RNA, 49 nt
Filed under: Arabidopsis thaliana (thale cress)
Lineage: Eukaryota; Viridiplantae; Streptophyta; Magnoliopsida; Brassicales; Brassicaceae
Description: ATSL202320
Source: RNAcentral
AUAUUAGGAUGGUUCUGCUUGAAGUUGUUGAAACCUUUGUUGUAACCUC